RNAcentral lists this ribosomal RNA (513 nucleotides) under uncultured bacterium. Its description in RNAcentral is "partial 16S ribosomal RNA". It matches the Rfam family "Bacterial small subunit ribosomal RNA", at positions 28 to 523 of the family's 1533-position model. The record is from RNAcentral.
GACGAACGCUGGCGGCAUGCCUAAUACAUGCAAGUCGAGCGAGCAGAUGAAGUGCUUGCACUUCUGACGUUAGCGGCGAACGGGUGAGUAACACGUAAGGAAUCUACCUAUAAGCGGGGGAUAACAUUCGGAAACGGGUGCUAAUACCGCAUAAUAUCUUCUUCCGCAUGGAAGAAGAUUGAAAGACGGCUCUGCUGUCACUUAUAGAUGACCUUGCGGUGCAUUAGUUAGUUGGUGGGGUAACGGCCUACCAAGACGAUGAUGCAUAGCCGACCUGAGAGGGUGAUCGGCCACAUUGGGACUGAGACACGGCCCAAACUCCUACGGGAGGCAGCGGUAGGGAAUCUUCCGCAAUGGGCGAAAGCCUGAUGGAGCAAUGCCGCGUGAGUGAAGAAGGCCUUCGGGUCGUAAAACUCUGUUAUAAGAGAAGAACAAAUUGUAGAGUAACUGCUACAGUCUUGACGGUAUCUUAUCAGAAAGCCACGGCUAACUACGUGCCAGCCGCCGCGGUAA